This 344-nucleotide unclassified non-coding RNA is filed under the name soil metagenome. RNAcentral describes it as "partial contains 5.8S ribosomal RNA, internal transcribed spacer 2, and large subunit ribosomal RNA". The stretch from base 1 to 120 matches the Rfam family "5.8S ribosomal RNA", at positions 35 to 154 of the family's 154-position model. The record is from RNAcentral.
GAUGAAGAACGUAGCGAAAUGCGAUACUUGGUGUGAAUUGCAGAAUCCCGUGAACCAUCGAGUCUUUGAACGCAAGUUGCGCCCUCUGGUAUUCCGGGGGGCAUGCCUGUCCGAGCGUCAUUUGCAACCCUCAAGCCCGGCUUGUGUGAUGGGUGCCGUCCCCUACGGGACGCGCCCGAAGGCAAUGGCGGCGUCGCGGUUAUCCGAUCAGCCAAAGUGUAUGGGGCUUUGUCACUCACUUUACGGCCCGGACCGGCGCCAGUCCGAAUCAAUCUUUUUUCUAAAGUUGACCUCGGAUCAGGUAGGGAUACCCGCUGAACUUAAGCAUAUCAAUAAGCGGAGGA